AGGGGAAUAGGUGAAAACACAAAUUGGUCAAAGGAGGACUUUUACCAAAUUAAUAUCAUUCAUUCAUUUGGGGAGAUGGAAUAUACAUUCCAUCAAUCCCCUAAAUCCAAUGAUAUUAAUUUGACAAAGUAAAAUCAACCUUGACCAAGGCCCAACAACAAUAAUCAAACUCAAACAAGUCAUCACAAUUGGUCAACAAAUUUAUUUGGCAUUUAUUCAAAUUAAAAAUACUAAAAUAAGGCAUUUAAAUU
Molecule: long non-coding RNA, 251 nt
Filed under: Lathyrus oleraceus (garden pea)
Lineage: Eukaryota; Viridiplantae; Streptophyta; Magnoliopsida; Fabales; Fabaceae
Description: Pisum sativum (pea) long non-coding RNA (PSAT_LNC001937)
Source: RNAcentral